GCGACAGGCGCGGGCCCUGACCCGGCCACUUUGUCCUUGUCCUCAUUGCUCUGAGCCGGGAAGCCUGGCGGGGACCAGCUGGGGAGACACAGAAACUGAGGCCCACAGGGAAGUGACUCAUCUGUGAUCACACCGCCAUCAGAAGGGAAAGGACCUCAGGGCCCUGGACCAGAAGGAUGUCCUGGCCCGGAGUAAAUGCCCAGUAGGUACUUGUUGGUAGAUGAGAUGCCCUUGGAAGAUUUUGUUGCCUGAACUGACCAGAAGGGAGGCCGAAUUCUGAAUCUUGCCAUCAGCACCCGGUUGCACCAGCCUGGUCCAGGGAGGGCUUCUUGGCACCUGAGAUGCUUCAGAGCUGGGUUGCCACCCGACCCAGACGGGGGACCCGCUCUGGCACCUUCUUGCCGAUGGCACCAUCUGCCUGUGUGUGCGUUUGCCGGGGGCUCAGCGGGCAAGGGCGGGCUCGGGACGUGAGCCACAGCAGUAGUCGUUCCACCGCGUGCCACACGCCCACGCCAAUGACUCCAGCGGCCGACGAUGGGGACGGGUUGAAUCACAGGCCAUUGGGUGAUGGAUGUCUAUGCUGUCUUUAAAUUGUCUACUGAGUUCAGUGACAAGCGGAUAUGAAGAGACAAGGUCUGUAAGUACUAUAUACGGUAAAAUUUCCACUUCGUUAUAAAAUACCCUCAUAGGAAAGUGCUGGAAGGCAGCCAGCCAAAACACCUGAGAGGACAAAUAGUAGAGGGUGAAAUUUAAUGACUUUGGUCUUAAUACAUCUGAGAUUGACCGUGGUGGGCACGGUUGGCAGAAGGACAGCUCCCGGAGAUGUCUGCGUCCUCAUCUUUGGAACCUGUGCACAUGGUACAAAGGGGACUUUACAGAUGUGAUUAAACCAAGGAUCUUGUUAUGGGGAGAAUCUUCUGGAUCAUCAAGGUGGGCCCAAAGCAAUGACAUGUGAAAGGAGGAGGCAGGAGCGCAGGUUGUUGAAGGAGAUGUGAGUCACUGCUGGCGUUGAAGACGUAAGGAGGCUGCGAACCAAGGAACACGGGCUGCCCCCAGGAGCCGGAACCAUUCCAGACGGAAUGUGGCCCUGCUGGUACCUUGAUUUUGGUCCUGUGAGACCUAAUUUCCCCCUUCUGAUUUCUGGAACUCUAGGCUAAUAAACGUGUUGUUUUAAGCCA
Molecule: long non-coding RNA, 1178 nt
Filed under: Vulpes vulpes (red fox)
Lineage: Eukaryota; Metazoa; Chordata; Mammalia; Carnivora; Canidae
Description: lncRNA (ENSVVUG00000018207.1)
Source: RNAcentral